CCCGCUGAACUUAAGCAUAUCAAUAAGCGGAGGAAAAGAAACUAACAAGGAUUCCCCUAGUAACUGCGAGUGAAGCGGGAAGAGCUCAAAUUUAAAAUCUGGCGCGCCUCUGGUCGUCCGAGUUGUAGUCUGGAGAAGCGUUUUCCGUGUUGGACCGUGUAUAAGUCUCUUGGAACAGGGCGUCGUAGAGGGUGAGAAUCCCGUCUUUGACACGGACUACCAAUGCUUUGUGAUGCGCUCUCAAAGAGUCGAGUUGUUUGGGAAUGCAGCUCAAAAUGGGUGGUAAAUUCCAUCUAAAGCUAAAUAUAUGCGAUAGACCCAUAGCGAACAAGUACCGUGAGGGAAAGAUGAAAAGCACUUUGCAAUGAGAGAUAAAUAGUACUUGAAAUUGCUGAUAGGUAAACGCUUGAAGUCAGUCACGUCUGCCAGGACUCACGCCUUGCUUCUGCUUGGGGUACUCACAGGCUUGACAAGCUCCCAAUCCUUUUGACCGUUGGGAAAAGGCUGUGGGAAUGGCGCACCUUCGGGUGUGUUAGAACCUUCUCUUAUAUCCAGUCGGUCGGAUUAAGAAGUGCAAUCCUUCUUUGUGGCUUUUCCUCUGCCUAGGACACCUAGUGAAAUCGUUGUUAUAUCUUUUACUCGCUUACUGAUAUGCAACAGGCAACGU
This 667-nucleotide ribosomal RNA is filed under the name uncultured fungus. Its description in RNAcentral is "eukaryotic LSU rRNA". It matches the Rfam family "Eukaryotic large subunit ribosomal RNA", at positions 24 to 598 of the family's 3401-position model. Lineage: Eukaryota; Fungi. The record is from RNAcentral.